CCUACGGGAGGCUGCAGUGAGGAAUAUUGGUCAAUGGGCGCUAGCCUGAACCAGCCAAGUAGCGUGAAGGAUGACUGCCCUAUGGGUUGUAAACUUCUUUUAUAUGGGAAUAAAGUGCAGUAUGUAUACUGCUUUGCAUGUACCUUAUGAAUAAGGAUCGGCUAACUCCGUGCCAGCAGCCGCGGUAAUACGGAGGAUCCGAGCGUUAUCCGGAUUUAUUGGGGUUAAAGGGAGCGUAGGCGGGUUGUUAAGUCAGUUGUGAAAGUUUGCGGCUCAACCGUAAAAUUGCAGUUGAUACUGGCAGCCUUGAGUACAGUAGAGGUAGGCGGAAUUCGUGGUGUAGCGGUGAAAUGCUUAGAUAUCACGAAGAACCCCGAUUGCGAAGGCAGCCUGCUGGACUGUAACUGACGCUGAUGCUCGAAAGUGUGGGUAUCAAACAGGAUUAGAUACCCUAGUAGUC
This 460-nucleotide ribosomal RNA is filed under the name uncultured bacterium. RNAcentral's name for it is "partial 16S ribosomal RNA". It matches the Rfam family "Bacterial small subunit ribosomal RNA", at positions 338 to 795 of the family's 1533-position model. The record is from RNAcentral.